UUGGAUAUAAUAAAAAGAACGGAGCGGAAUGGAGCGGAGCGGGAUGGAAUAGAGCGGAACGGAGUGGAAUGGAAUAAAUACGUCAUUCCAUUGUUUGGAUAUUUCAUGAUGGAAUAGAGUAAUUUUUUCAUUCCGCCCAAAUCGGAGGGUACAAAAAGUGAUGGAAUGUGAUGGAAUGCAUUCCAUCCGAUACCACUCCAUUCCAUCCGUUUUUAACCAAUCCAAACGAUGGAACAUAAACUUAUUCCAUUCCAUUCCGCUCCAUUCCAUCCUAUUCCAUCAAUCCAAACAUACCCUAUUAGUGCCCUAAUUACUCUUGUUAUCAUUCUUUCUCUGUUGUGUUUCAGAUCCAUGGACUCUAACUUAUUUCUUGUUUAACAGUUCGAUAUUUAAAACUAGGGAUUUCAUUUUGAAAUCACCAUCAAGGUCUGAAGCUUUAGGAUUCUAUCAUUUCAGCCUGUUUUGUUAAGCUUGAUUCUACAUUUUCUUCUAUAUUUUUUGGUAUGAUUCCAAAACUCUCAAAUAUUUCAAAUGUUAUCAAUACUGUAUGUUUGAUUAUUGCUGAAUUGAAAUUUAAAAGUUAUAACAGAGUAAAUAUGUACAUGGUAAUAAAAACCGAAUCAAACCGGUCAAUUCAUUCGAUUGGACCGACGACCGAGCCCAUUCCAAUUCAUUUGACUAUGAAAACCGUUCUAAAUGAAAACCAGAAAAGAACCGAAAAACUAGAUGAAAACCUGAUAAGCCGAUCAAAACUAGCGGUUUCUCGGUUUGAGAAAUCAAACCAUUUUUUCCCUUUCUUUUACCCAAAUUUGAACAACCAAUAACAGAAAACGCUGCAAUAGUUAAAAAGAUUAUGUUUCUUGCUUUUUUUAUGAGUUUUAAGAAAUAGAGAGGGUAAAAAAUAAAACAAAUGAGGAGAAAGAUGCAGAGUUUAUGAUUAUGUUGGAAGUUCAAGAGAUAUUAUUAAAAAUAUGUGAGCCAUUCAUUUUUAUGGGAGUUAAAGUCUAAAACACGUAGUUAGUAUGAGAGCCAUUCAUUUUUAUAAUAAGUGCUAUAAUACUCUAUUGUAAACAUUGGUUAACGAGCUAUUGUAUAAUCCUCACAUGAAAAAUAAAUAAAUAUAUACAUAGCAUAAUAUAGUUAUAAUGUUCUAGUAUUAUAUGAUUCAAGUGUUAUAUGAUUAUUUAUGAUUUUUAAAUGAAAUUUAAUUAAAUUUUAUAAAAUUAUCAAUGACUGUUAUUUCUUACCAUGCCUCUAGAUUUUCAUGUUUACUAAUAAUUACACUUAUAUAUCUAGAACCAACAUAGUCUGGUUGUAUUUUAUUUCUUACCAUGCCUCUAGAUUUUCAUGUCCGGUUGUGCCUCUAGAUUUUCAUGUAUGGUUGUGAUUUAGAAUUAAAAAUUAGAAAUUUAGAUUAUUGUUUUUGAUUUGGUAUAUCUUGAAUAACUACUGCCCUUACUCUUUCAUUUAUUUUAGUUAAGUGUUUCAGUUAAUUUUGUCAAAUGGAGUAUAGAAGGUGGAUCCGUGAUCCUUCAAAACAAAGUCAAGAAUAUAUUCAAGGGGUUAAUGAAUUUCUUGAAUUUUCUUUUCAAAAGUCUGAAGAUAACGAAAAAGUAUUGUGUGCUUGUAUAAAGUGUGCUAACAGUAAGUCACAUACUCGCUCCAGUGUUUAUGAGCACUUAAUUGAUCCGCGACGUGGAUUUCUUAGAGGUUAUACACAAUGGAUAUUUCAUGGUGAGAGACCUACAACUUCAAGUGGUGCAAUUGAAGAACAUUUUGAAAUGGAGCAUGACAUGGAUGGGUUAAUUCGUGAUGUUUUUGCAAUGCCUCCUUUAGAAGAGACAUUUUCUGGAGAAGGUGAAAGGAAUCCAGAAGUAGGAGAAAAUGUUAAAUUUUAACAAUUGAUGAAAGAGAAUGAGCAAGUUUUAUAUCCAAAUUGCAAGAAGUAUAGCAAACUAUCCUUUAUGGUGCAUUUAUAUCAUUUAAAGUGUCUUCAUGGGUGGAGCGACAAGUCAUUCUCUAUGUUAUUAGAUUUAUUGAGAGAUGCUCUACCAGAAGGAAAUGUUUUACCAAAGUCAUACUAUGAAACAAAGAAUUUCAGGAUUAGGUUUAGGGUAUGAAAAGAUCCAUGCAUGUCCUAAUGACUGCAUAUGAUAUUGGGAUAAACAUAUCAAUGACCAAAUAUGUCCAAAGUGUGGUACUUCAAGGUGGAAAACAACAAAUGAGGAUGUAUAAGCUAAUGGAAAAGAGACUUCCGAAAAGCGAAAGAACUUACCCGCAAAGAUCCUUCGUUGGUUUCUUUUGAAACCAAGGUUGCAGAGGUUAUUCAUGUCAUAUAAAAUUUCCGAAUCAAUGAGAUGGCACCAUGACGGUAGAUUGAAUGAUGGGUCUCUUAGGCAUCCGGAUGACUCACUUGCUUGGAAGGAAUUUAACUCUCGAUAUCCAACAUUUUUGUUAGAUCCUCGUAAUGUUCGAUUAGGGGUGGCUUCUGAUGGAUUUAAUCCUUUUAAGACUAUGAGUAUAACUCAUAGCACCUGGCCUGUCAUGCUAAUUCCUUAUAAUUUUCCUCCUUGGAUGUGUAUGAAACAAUUAUUCUUCAUGUUAUCACUACUCAUUCCCGGUCCUAAAGGUCGUGGAAAUAAUAUUGAUGUUUACCUAUAACCAUUAGUAAAAGAGCUGCAAGAGUUAUGGUUUGAUGGAAUUGAAACUUUUGAUGCUUGUAAGAAAGAGACAUUUCAACUCCAUGCUGCUAUAAUGUGGUCUAUCAAUGACUUUCCAGCAUAUGCAAAUUUAUCUGGAUGGAGUACUAAAGGAAAAUAUGCUUGUCCAUGUUGUGGUAUUGAAACGUCCUCACGAUGGUUAAAUUAUGGUGGAAAGUUUUGCUACAUGAGUCAUCGGCGCUGGUUAGCGCCUAAUCACAAGUGGAGGUUGAAUAGUAUGUAUUUUGAUGGAACAAUAGAGUUAAGGGAUCCUCCUCCUAUAAAACAAGAUGGGGUUGAAGUUACAAGGCAAAUAGAUGAAACUAUUGAAGAGGGCCUACAGAAUGGAGCACAACCUUGGAAAUAGAAGAGCAUUUUCUUCACUUUGCCUUAUUGGAAGUAUAAUGUAUUGCGUCACAAUCUAGAUGUGAUGCACAUUGAAAAAAAUGUAUGUGAUAAUAUCAUUGGUACUUUGUUAAACCAAGAGGGAAAAUCCAAAGAUAAUUAUAAGGCACGUGCUGACCUUGAAGAUAUGGGCAUAAGAAGUAUGCUUCACCCUCAACCAAGUCCCAAAAGUAGUACAAUGCUUCUUCCUAGAGCAUGUUAUCAAAUGACUAACAAAGAAAAAGACGCUUUUUUUAGUGUUCUUAAGAAUGUAAAAGCUCCAGAUGAAUGCUCAUCAAACACCCCACGCUGUGUUCAUGUCCAGCAGCGAAAGAUAUUUGGCUUAAAAAGUUAUGAUUGUCAUGUUCUAAUGCAACAAUUUCUUCCGGUUGCAUUAAGAGCUUCUUUGCCCGAUAAAGUAACUUCAAUUAUUGUGGAACAUGUAACUUCUUCAAGCAAAUAUGCUCUAAAGUACUUAAUAUGGAUGUUCUUGCACAAUUGGAGUCUCAAAUGGCUAUAACACUUUGUCAACUAGAAACGAUCUUUCCUCCAUCCUUUUUUACCAUUAUGAUGCAUUUGGUAGUUCAUUUGGCUUAUGAAGCCAAGGUUGCUGGACCAGUGCAAUAUCAGUGGAUGUAUCCUAUUGAGAGGUUUCUUCUUACUCUUAAGUCAUUUGUACGCAAUAGAGCACAUCCAGAAGGAUCAAUUGCAGAAGGUUUUUUGGCCAAUGAAUGCUUGACCUUUUGUUCUCAAUAUCUAUCUGGAGUGGAAAAUAGGUUCAACAGACCUAGCAGAAAUGAUGAUGAUUAUACAUUGGAAGAUGAUGUGACAUUUCUACAUCCUAUUGGAAGACCUCUAGGAAGGAAAAAACAACAAAAGUUACAAAUAGGGAAGCGAGAGAGAAUUAGUAGAUCUAAGCUUGAUGAAAAGGAGUUAAUGCAAGCUCACUGAUAUGUUCUUUCUAAUUGUGACAGAGUCGCUCCAUAUAUAGAAGAACACAUUGGACUUCUUAAGAGACAGGCUCGACCUCUAUGAUUAUCACAACUCGAAGUUGAUAAACAACAUAGUAAAAAAUUUAGCGGCUGGCUUCGAGAUAGGAUUCAUCACUUAGAUGAACAAGGGAGCCAAGAAGUCACUCAUGAACUUAGAUGGUUAGCGCGUGGGCCAUAUGAGGUGGUAAGGAGAUACACCGGUUAUUCCAUUAAUGGUUUUAGGUUCCACACAAGGAAAAGAGAAAGAUACUUGAAGACACAAAAUUCUGGAGUAGUUGUAAGGACAAAGACCUCAAAUGAUGAAAUUAAUUACUAUGGAGCAAUAACUGAUAUAAUACAAUUGGAUUAUUCUGGAAAGUACAAGGUUGUCUUAUUCAAAUGUGAUUGGAUUGAUAUCAAAAAAGGGGUCAAGAAAGACAAGUUUGGGAUGACACUUGUGAAUUUUAAAUUUUUGAAACACACAGGAAAAAAUCUUUGGGAUGACCCAUUUGUUUUUGCAUCACAAGCUAAAAAGGUGUUCUAUGUAUAUGAUGAAAGAAGCAAGGAUUGGCCUGUGGUUUUAGAUGCAAAGGUGAGGGAUAUUUAUGAUAUGUGAGAUGAGGAAUCGAAUGAAGUUGAAGAAAUCCAUGAGCAACCAUUUCAUAAUACAAGUGAAGCUACUCAAACUGUUAAUGAUUUACCAAUUGGAGUUUCAAUUGAUGAUAAUGAUUUCUUUGAAGUUGUUGUUGAUAAUCAUAUUGGUGAAGAGGAUGAGGAGGAAGAUGGGGGGGGGAUAGGUUUUAAUUGUCAAUGAUUUUA
Long non-coding RNA from Vicia villosa (hairy vetch), 4873 nucleotides. RefSeq lists it as uncharacterized. The record is from RefSeq and is a predicted model, not a curated record. Lineage: Eukaryota; Viridiplantae; Streptophyta; Magnoliopsida; Fabales; Fabaceae. The transcript has 5 exons.